UUGGUACAGGCUCAUAAUAACUCAUAAUAUAAUAAUAGACCGGUGCCGUUAUUUGGAGCGGCAUAUGGCUCUGGAGGUAGAGCGGGUCGGCUGGUGACCGGAAAGUUGCUUGUUCGAUCCCCGGCUCCUCUUGCUGAGUGUCGAGGUGUCCCUGAGCAAGAUAGCUCGCCUUGAUUGCUCAUGACGAGCUGGUCGUCGUGAGCAAACCAGCUCUUUGGUCGUCGCCCUGCGUGGUUGACUUCUCCGUCGGUGUUUGAAUGUGUUUGAAUGGGUGAAUGUUUGGCAUUGUAAAGCACUCUGAGUUGCCACUGGUUAGAAAAGCGCUGUAUAAAAGCUGUGCAUUUGCCAUCGGCACAGCGAGGCUGUUUUCUGUCGCUUCUGUCACUGUAUAUUGCCUAUAUAGGCCAACAUUUGGAUUAUAGGCCUAAGUGGGAAUGUGUUUAUAUGGUCAACCAUAGCCUUCUAGUUGUUAUGGAUUAAUUUAUUAGUUGAUGUAAUCUUAUGGAUGACCAUUUUUGUCGACCCUGGAUUGUCGCCUUGUUUUCCUAGUUUUUUAGUUAUAACUAUAAGAUUUCUUAAAGUUAUAGGCCUAACUAUCUAGGAUAGCUCUAGGAUAGUUAUAACUAUGCCUAUAUGAUGGUUAUAACCAUAUGAUAGCUUAACUAUAUUAUAUAGGUCUACAUUAUGACACUGUUCUCCUGAGAGUCAGAAUCAGCAGUGCAUGACCAUCACAAAGUGAUUUUGUGUUUCAUCACUUUAUUUUGUUAGUUUGUUGUUGCAAACAUAUUUACUUUAUUAUUCAUAUUUUAGUUUGUCUGCCUUGUUGUCCUGUCCCAACCCUGCCACCUGUGAGGUUCAUUUAAUCUAAUCCUCUCACUACAACACAAUUAACUAAUCCUUAAUCUGUUCUCUCGUAGCAGGCCGCCUCACCACAACCUGCUGCCCUUCUCGUCCUCUAGUAAGGGAUAGGAUUAACACUUAAGCGUAGAAACUGAGUCCGGUCUCUGCUCAAGGGAAGAGAUUUCAGCUGUGAACCAUACCCAUUAAGACAGGAUAUAUCAUGUAUCAUUCAGGCUAUAUAAUAGAUGACAACUUUGUAAGAUGUAUAGACUGUUUAUCCUGUAGUCUACCCAUAUCAUAUAGCAACAGAAUAUAGUGACAUAAUACCAGUCAUGCUUUCUAAAUGCACUACUAGAACUGAAAAGGAAUUACAGAGGAGUACAGAGGAGAACAAAUUUCAAUCCAUCGGAUGGUUAAGGUUUGCUGAAUAGCAUUACCUUAAUAAGCACAUAUUAUAAAUUACAUCACAUAUCCCACAAAUGACAUCACAUAUCCCACAAAUGACAUCACAUAGCAAUAAAAACAUCACAUAUAACUACAUUAAUAACAUUACAUAGCUACAAAUAGCAUCACAUAUCACUACAUUAUUUACAUCACAUAUAAUUACAUUGAUAACAUAACACAUCACUUCAUUAAUAACAUCACGUCACUACAAUAAUGACAAACAAUUACUGCGAUAACAAUGCAUAUCAAUGCUUUAACAUUAACGUCCUCAUUCAGGACAUCACAUUAGUAAUAUCAUCCCGACAUACAGUACAUUGUAGGAUGCUGUACAUUAAUAGCAUACAGUAUAGCAGACAUCACCUAGACUCUGCAUAGCCACCCCCUCUCGCCCCUCCUAAGCACUUAUUGUAUGUUAUAUGUCCUGGCACUUAAUGUACGCACUUAUUGUCUGUCAUACUUAGCGAUAGUACUUAGUUGUGUAGCUUCUUAUCCUAGCUAUCCUUGUUGUAUACAGGUAAUGGGUUUACUUAGGUUUUAUGAACAUCAUUACUUUACCGACAGCAAUAUAUUGUUUCACCUUCUUCUGACAAAUGUACUUAUUGUAAGUCGUUUUGGAUAAAAUCGUCUGCUAAAUGCCCUAAACAUAAAAUGCAAAUGUACAUUCAUUUAUCGUACAUCAUCAAUAGCAUAGAGUGAGAGCUCCGAUGCCUUGUUCUGGGGCCUACAGCAGUACAUGCUUUUUGGAACGGACUGACUGUGACAUCACAGUCAUUGUUUGGUGAGGGAGGUCCCUGGUCAGCACCAGAACGCCCCAAUGACCUUGUUUACACCAAGCGGCAGUCAUGCCCGCCUGUUUGUGAGGCCCAUGGCUAACAUGGAGUUCCUUGAACUGCCCCAGGUGGUUCACGGUAGGUGGAUCAGAGGGACCCACGUCCAAUCUUAGUGAACAGGAAGAUCUUAAUGUUAUGCGUUUUCAAAGGUCCACGUUGACGGCUAUGUUGAAGUUAUUAAGGAUUGAAUAUUCAUUAUUUUUGUCCAUAGACUAGUACAAGGUGUUCACCCAUUCCAAACGUCAAUGUGACAGAAAUGGAAAGUUUUCACUGAAAAUUGUAUACAAUGGCAAGGCUUUGAAGAAGGCGCUAGGUCACAGCCCCUAGCUGAGGAUGUGUGUGUGUGUUUUGUGUUGUGUGUAUUUUGUGCUGUGUUUGUUUUGUUGCAUCAGUUGUGUAAGCUACAGCCAAAUUGAGGAUAUAACUAGGGCAGGGGGAUGUGUAGAUAACAAAAACAUGCUUUUUAUGUUAUGAUUAUAACACAAAAUCCAUAUAUUCCGGAAUCCAUAUAUUCAGAUAAUUAGAUACUGCAGGUCUCUCUCCCUAACCCCUCGCUCAUCUCCCUCUCUCCUUCUCUCUGACUGUGCAGAUGGAUGUGUAGAGGGAACAAACUGGUAGCCAUCUUAUAUUUAGAGUGCUGACUCACUCUGGGGAGCCAGCAGGAUGUGUGUUGUCUUGUAUCCAUGGUAAUGCAUCUCUGUCAUUAUAGCAGUAAGAAAAAAUACCCACAUCUAACUAUGUUCCCCAGAGAGACAACUAACUCCUUGAUCCCUAGAGAGAUAACUAACUCCUUGAUCCCUAGAGAGACUACUAACUCCUUGAUCCCUAGAGAGACAACUAACUCCUUGAUCCCUAGAGAGACAACUAACUCCCCAACCAGAAGUAAUACUGGGCCAAACUUUGCGUUCUCAGAGGACGUUUAUUUAACAAUUUAUAUGCAUUCUCAUACACACAAUGAAGUUGUGGUGAAACCAACCAUAAUAGGAGCCCAUUAAUGUUGACUCACCUAAUGAGAAGGCUGAUGUUGCAUGCCAGACAUCAAAUGCUUGAUGUCUGGCUUAAGUAAUGAGAGUCAGUUUUAGAUCAGGAUAGAGAGAUACAACAUCGGAAAAGGCAUCAGAAACCACACAGCUCUGUUGGAAAGAUCGGGAUACUCAGAAGCAUUACGAAGUCAAAGGGUACUUUGUCAGCCUGGCCCACAUGUCGAUUUGUUUAAUUAUGCAAAAUCGCCAAAUAGCUCAAAACGCAACACUGUCCAAAAUAUUUACAGCUCAUAUCGCUCUUGCGUUUUCACGUGUAUGUUCACUAGGACCACCCACGCCGACGAGAGACAUCUACAUUCCGAUUGGCUGGCGGUCAUUUACAGCCGAAAGCUACUAGCUCAUUUGCAUAGAGUUGAGCUGUUUUCAACUCUCAUUUACAGCUUUACAGCUUUAAAGCUAUCGAUCAAGCGUUUUAUCGCUCCAAUUGCUUUAUCACUCAUGUGAAUAAGUGAACGGGCGUUCAUUGCUCAAAACGCUUUACAGCUUAAAUUGGUGUGAACGCACAGUAAUAUAGGCAUGGCGUAACAUCUUUGUCAAUGUCAAUGUCAAUGUCAAUGUCAAUUUUAUUUAUAUAACGCAUUUACAGACGGCUUAGCCGCACCAAAGUGCUUUACAGUAAAGUGCAAUAUUGCAGGAAGGCACAAAAAACAAACAAAAACAUAUUUGUUAUGUCUGUCGAUUUAUCCAACUUUAUGGCAUACAAAUAACUCUGGUAUGCUCGCAAUCAGCUGGUCUAACACUUUCUCGCCAUAUUGUCUAUUUGGGAUGCACCAAAAUGAAAAUUCUUGGCCGAAGCCGAAACCGAAUAUACUGAAACAGUUGGCCGAAAGCCGAAACCGAAUACCGAAUGUGGCAUUUGCUGUUUUUCAUUCAAUUUGCUUUAAUUUUUCACCAUUGCAUAAAUCAAACAAUUAAAAGUCCUUUAUAAACUUUUUUGUCUUGAUUUUCAAUAAAAAAAAAUCAAUUACAAAUUUUAUACAAAUUAUUUAUUUAAUACUGAACGAUUUCUAACAUUCCAGCAGACCUUAUAGCAAGAAUUUAAGAACAAUGUAGCUUUCAAAUAAAUGAGUAAAUUAUUACUAUUAUUAUUUAUUUUUUUAACCAAAAAAAAAAAGUAUUUUUUUCUGCCUUUUUACUCCUUCGGCCGAAACCGAAAAUUAUGUUUUGGGCCAUUUUCGGUGGCCGAAUUUUCAGUGCAACCCUAUUGUCUAUCUUGAGUUUGACUUAGUUAUCAGACAAUGAGAUUAGUUGAUUGGCUUGCAUGACUUCUCUCCCAACAUCUCCCAAACUAUCUAUUUUUUGGCGGUUUUGUUGUAUGGGGCUCACUAGACUUGCCAAUGAGCCUUUGCAUUCUAUAUGACCAUGCAUGACAUUUACUUAUUACUUUCUUCUUACCCUGAUACUCCUUCAGUUUACUAUUGAAACUCCCUGUCCCUAGAUAUAGAGACAGAAAACUCCCUGUUCCCUUGAUAGAGACAACAAACUCCCUGUUCCCUAGAGAGAGAGAGAGAUGACAAACUCCUUGUUCCCUAGAGAGAGAUAGACAACAAACUCCCUGUUCCCUAGAGAGAGAGACAACAAACUCCCUGUUCCCUAGAGGGAGACAACAAACUCCCUGUUCCCUAGAGAGAGAGAGAGACAACAAACUCCCUGUUCCCUUGAUAGAGAGACAAAAAACUCCCUGUUCCCUAGAGAGAGAGAGAGACAACAAACAAGCUGUUCCCCAGAGAGAGAGACGACAAACUCCCUGUCCCCUAGAGAGAGAUAGACAACAAACUCCCUGUUCCCUAGAGAGAGAGACAACAAACUCCCUGUUCCCUAGAAAGGGAGACAACAAACUCCCUGUUCCCUAGAGCGAGGGACAACACACUCCCUGUUCCCUAGAUAGAGUGACAACAAACUCCCUGUUCCCUUGAUAGAGAGACAACAAACUCCCUGUUCCCUAGAGAGAGAGAGGCAACAAAAUGCUCCCUAGAGAGAUAGACAACCAACUCCCUGUUCCCUAGAGAGACAACAAACCCCCUGUUCCCUAGAGAGACAACCAACUGCCUGUUCCCUAGAUAGAGAGGGACAACAAAGAGAGAGAGAGAGAGAGAGAGAGAGAGAGAGAGAGAGAGAGAACCAGCUCCCUGUUCUCUAGAGAGAGACAAAAAAAACUCCCUGCCCCCUAGAGAGACAAAAACUCCCUGUUCCCUAGAGAGCGAUAUUGAACAAACUCCCUGUUCCCUAGAGAGAGAGAGAGAGAGAGAGAGAGAGAGAGAACAAACUCCCUGUUACCCAGAGAGAGAGGGAGACAACAAACUCCCUGCUGCCUAGAGAGACAAAAAACUCCCUGUUCCCUAGAGAGACAACAAACUCUUUAUUCCCUUAUAGAAAAAAAUAGAAUUAGAAACGGAGAGGAUGAGACAGGAAACAAGUCAGAGAAAGACAGAGUUAGGGAGACAGGGCAAAUAGAGACAAGAAUAGAUUGAGCUACAGACAGUGGUUUGCGUACGGAAAUAGAACUAGCUGGAAUUUGGUAAAAGAAAACCCAUCCUGACACACACAGACAAACUCUCUCCGUUGCUCACAUCACAACACAAACACAUGAGUGCAAUUGUACAAAAACAAUCAGCUGAAGGAUUAAACUAAACUACAAGACCUCACCCACUGUUGUUCGCUCUCUGUUACCACGGAAA
This is a long non-coding RNA of Gadus macrocephalus (Pacific cod), 5835 nucleotides long. RefSeq lists it as uncharacterized. The record is from RefSeq and is a predicted model, not a curated record. The transcript is spliced from 2 exons. NCBI's taxonomy places the organism in Eukaryota, Metazoa, Chordata, Actinopteri, Gadiformes, Gadidae.